Spinacia oleracea (spinach) is the source of this 904-nucleotide long non-coding RNA. RefSeq lists it as uncharacterized. The record is from RefSeq and is a predicted model, not a curated record. The transcript is spliced from 3 exons. Lineage: Eukaryota; Viridiplantae; Streptophyta; Magnoliopsida; Caryophyllales; Amaranthaceae.
UUAAAUUCCUCUUUCUUUCGUCGAACUUAUGUUUGGCCGUUUUUCACCUAUUUCUGUUCGUUUUCAGAAAAUGGUUUCUUCUUCAAAGUUGUAGAUAUCGAAAAGUUCUUGAACUUUGCCUGAAGAAUCGAUCGAUUCCGAGUUAUAGAUUAAAUGUUAUGAGCAUUCUAAAUUACUGCUGCAGUAUUUCACUUUUCUCUUUCUCUCCUUGCCCGUCGCCCCUCACCCGAGCACUCAGCACGAGCGCUGCUGCUCGUUGCUGCACCCCGUGCCUUCGAGCACCAUCCCUAGCACUCCCUUGCUGCGUUUCUCGUGCUUUGUCCCUCACACUCCCUCUCUCGCCCUCGUCGUUGCAACCUACCCGCACAGCCACACCUUGCGUGUUGUGGUUGUUGUUGUUGCCGUGUGUUGUUGCUGUGUUGUGGUGCCCUCGCCCACACACACUCGCACACUCGCCUCUCUCCUUCCUCUCGUGCCUGCUGCGCCGAGCCCUCACCACCCAUGUUACUUUCUUGUUCGUUGUCCGCACACGCAACACACCCUUCGUGUGUGUUGUGUGUUUGUUUGUGUUCCGUUAAUUCUUUUUUCGCCCAAUCACAUUUAAUUCGUGAUUGUACCGUGCUAUAGGCCGGAUUGGAGUUGAUUUCUAGUAAGUUGUGAUUCGCACAGUGGUCUCCGUACUUAGGUAUUCCAGAUUAAUUUAGCAGGUUGGUAGAUCAAAGUACGAUCGAAAUCAUGUAGCUUGGGAUGGUUGAGUGAGUUGCAUUCUUUUGUGCUUUGAAACUAUUUCAAAUUAUACUUUAAUUAUGUUUUGGAGUUUAUGGAUUUUUAAUACUUUGGUUUUGGGCCGUUAUGGUUCCAACUUGUAGGAGGCCUCAAUAAAUAUUAUUUAUAAUGGUUUGAA